This is a small nuclear RNA of Engraulis encrasicolus (European anchovy), 130 nucleotides long. NCBI's taxonomy places the organism in Eukaryota, Metazoa, Chordata, Actinopteri, Clupeiformes, Engraulidae. The record is from RefSeq and is a predicted model, not a curated record.
GUGUUGUAUGAAAGGAGAGCAGGUUAGCACUCCCCUUGACAAGGAUGGAAGCGGUCCUGUUGCCCUACAACACAGAAAUGGUUAAAGGGACACUGUGAAAGAUUUUUAGUUGUUUAUUUCCAGAAUUCAU